AGAGUUUGAUCCUGGCUCAGGACGAACGCUGGCGGCGUGCCUAAUACAUGCAAGUCGUGCGGGGUUAAUGGAGAAGCUUGCUUUUCCAAUAAUCUAGCGGCGGAUGGGUGAGUAACACGUGGGUAACCUGCCUAAAAGACUGGGAUAACUCCGGGAAACCGGGGCUAAUACCGGAUAAUCUACCAGGUCAUAGGACAAGGUAGUAAAAGGUGGCGCAAGCUACCACUUUUAGAUGGGCCCGCGUCGCAUUAGCUAGUUGGUGGGGUAAUGGCCUACCAAGGCGACGAUGCGUAGCCGACCUGAGAGGGUGAUCGGCCACACUGGGACUGAGACACGGCCCAGACUCCUACGGGAGGCAGCAGUGGGGAAUAUUGGGCAAUGGGCGCAAGCCUGACCCAGCGACGCCGCGUGGGCGAUGAAGGCCUUCGGGUUGUAAAGCCCUGUCAUGCGGAAAGAACGACCCUGUGACGCAUACUCACAGGGAGUGACGGUACCGCAGGAGGAAGCACCGGCUAACUCCGUGCCAGCAGCCGCGGUAAUACGGAGGGUGCAAGCGUUGUUCGGAAUUAUUGGGCGUAAAGGGCGCGUAGGCGGUAAUGUAAGUCAGAUGUGA
This 613-nucleotide ribosomal RNA is filed under the name uncultured Bacillus sp. RNAcentral's name for it is "bacterial SSU rRNA". It matches the Rfam family "Bacterial small subunit ribosomal RNA", at positions 8 to 597 of the family's 1533-position model. Lineage: Bacteria; Bacillati; Bacillota; Bacilli; Caryophanales; Bacillaceae. The record is from RNAcentral.